RNAcentral lists this ribosomal RNA (2108 nucleotides) under Escherichia coli. RNAcentral's name for it is "partial 23S ribosomal RNA". It matches the Rfam family "Bacterial large subunit ribosomal RNA", at positions 717 to 2806 of the family's 2925-position model. The record is from RNAcentral. Lineage: Bacteria; Pseudomonadati; Pseudomonadota; Gammaproteobacteria; Enterobacterales; Enterobacteriaceae.
GAAACCCGGUGAUCUAGCCAUGGGCAGGUUGAAGGUUGGGUAACACUAACUGGAGGACCGAACCGACUAAUGUUGAAAAAUUAGCGGAUGACUUGUGGCUGGGGGUGAAAGGCCAAUCAAACCGGGAGAUAGCUGGUUCUCCCCGAAAGCUAUUUAGGUAGCGCCUCGUGAAUUCAUCUCCGGGGGUAGAGCACUGUUUCGGCAAGGGGGUCAUCCCGACUUACCAACCCGAUGCAAACUGCGAAUACCGGAGAAUGUUAUCACGGGAGACACACGGCGGGUGCUAACGUCCGUCGUGAAGAGGGAAACAACCCAGACCGCCAGCUAAGGUCCCAAAGUCAUGGUUAAGUGGGAAACGAUGUGGGAAGGCCCAGACAGCCAGGAUGUUGGCUUAGAAGCAGCCAUCAUUUAAAGAAAGCGUAAUAGCUCACUGGUCGAGUCGGCCUGCGCGGAAGAUGUAACGGGGCUAAACCAUGCACCGAAGCUGCGGCAGCGACACUAUGUGUUGUUGGGUAGGGGAGCGUUCUGUAAGCCUGUGAAGGUGGCCUGUGAGGGUUGCUGGAGGUAUCAGAAGUGCGAAUGCUGACAUAAGUAACGAUAAAGCGGGUGAAAAGCCCGCUCGCCGGAAGACCAAGGGUUCCUGUCCAACGUUAAUCGGGGCAGGGUGAGUCGACCCCUAAGGCGAGGCCGAAAGGCGUAGUCGAUGGGAAACAGGUUAAUAUUCCUGUACUUGGUGUUACUGCGAAGGGGGGACGGAGAAGGCUAUGUUGGCCGGGCGACGGUUGUCCCGGUUUAAGCGUGUAGGCUGGUUUUCCAGGCAAAUCCGGAAAACCAAGGCUGAGGCGUGAUGACGAGGCACUACGGUGCUGAAGUGACAAAUGCCCUGCUUCCAGGAAAAGCCUCUAAGCAUCAGGUAACAUCAAAUCGUACCCCAAACCGACACAGGUGGUCAGGUAGAGAAUACCAAGGCGCUUGAGAGAACUCGGGUGAAGGAACUAGGCAAAAUGGUGCCGUAACUUCGGGAGAAGGCACGCUGAUAUGUAGGUGAAGCGACUUGCUCGUGGAGCUGAAAUCAGUCGAAGAUACCAGCUGGCUGCAACUGUUUAUUAAAAACACAGCACUGUGCAAACACGAAAGUGGACGUAUACGGUGUGACGCCUGCCCGGUGCCGGAAGGUUAAUUGAUGGGGUUAGCGGCAACGCGAAGCUCUUGAUCGAAGCCCCGGUAAACGGCGGCCGUAACUAUAACGGUCCUAAGGUAGCGAAAUUCCUUGUCGGGUAAGUUCCGACCUGCACGAAUGGCGUAAUGAUGGCCAGGCUGUCUCCACCCGAGACUCAGUGAAAUUGAACUCGCUGUGAAGAUGCAGUGUACCCGCGGCAAGACGGAAAGACCCCGUGAACCUUUACUAUAGCUUGACACUGAACAUUGAGCCUUGAUGUGUAGGAUAGGUGGGAGGCUUUGAAGUGUGGACGCCAGUCUGCAUGGAGCCGACCUUGAAAUACCACCCUUUAAUGUUUGAUGUUCUAACGUUGGCCCGUAAUCCGGGUUGCGGACAGUGUCUGGUGGGUAGUUUGACUGGGGCGGUCUCCUCCUAAAGAGUAACGGAGGAGCACGAAGGUUGGCUAAUCCUGGUCGGACAUCAGGAGGUUAGUGCAAUGGCAUAAGCCAGCUUGACUGCGAGCGUGACGGCGCGAGCAGGUGCGAAAGCAGGUCAUAGUGAUCCGGUGGUUCUGAAUGGAAGGGCCAUCGCUCAACGGAUAAAAGGUACUCCGGGGAUAACAGGCUGAUACCGCCCAAGAGUUCAUAUCGACGGCGGUGUUUGGCACCUCGAUGUCGGCUCAUCACAUCCUGGGGCUGAAGUAGGUCCCAAGGGUAUGGCUGUUCGCCAUUUAAAGUGGUACGCGAGCUGGGUUUAGAACGUCGUGAGACAGUUCGGUCCCUAUCUGCCGUGGGCGCUGGAGAACUGAGGGGGGCUGCUCCUAGUACGAGAGGACCGGAGUGGACGCAUCACUGGUGUUCGGGUUGUCAUGCCAAUGGCACUGCCCGGUAGCUAAAUGCGGAAGAGAUAAGUGCUGAAAGCAUCUAAGCACGAAACUUGCCCCGAGAUG